AUGUGAUCGUCUCUCGCAUAUCAAUAAGCGGAGGAAAAGAAACUAACAAGGAUUCCCCUAGUAACGGCGAGUGAAGCGGGAAGAGCUCAAAUUUGAAAUCUUAAAGGGUUUCCCUUUACGAAUUGUAGUUUAAAGAAGUGUUUUCUGUUGAGGUUUUGGUAAAGGUUCUUUGGAAUAGGACAUCAUAGAGGGUGAGAAUCCCGUAUUUGACCUUUACUUUCAACUUUGUGAUACACUUUCAAAGAGUCGGAUUGUUUGGAAAUGCAGUCCAAAAUGGGUGGUAAAUUUCAUCUAAAGCUAAAUAUUGGCGAGAGACCGAUAGCGAACAAGUACCGUGAGGGAAAGAUGAAAAGAACUUUGAAAAGAGAGUUAAACAGUACGUGAAAUUGUCAAAAGGGAAGCGUUUGACACCAGUGUUGUUUUUCUGAAAAUCAAUUAAAGAACUGUUUAUGCUAAGUUGUUUAGACUUUAUCAGCUAAUCUGCUUAGUUUUGAGCUUUUCUUUAAUGCACUUUUCAGUUAACAAGUCAACAUCAAUUUCUUUUGCUGUAAAAAAGCUUGAGGAAGGUGGCUUGAGAUUCGUCUUAAGUGUUUAUAGCCUCUUGCCUAUGCAGUCGGAGAGAUUGAGGUCUGCAGCGUAGAUCCUUCGGGGCUAAAUGCAUCUUGUGCUAAGUUAUAGCAUUUUAUAGACAACUUGUUGACUAUGAUUUGUCUUGUAGCUUACUCGCUUAUGUUAUUUUACCUACGCUUAGGAUGUUGACGAGACUGUCGAUCUC
This 775-nucleotide ribosomal RNA is filed under the name uncultured Neocallimastigales. RNAcentral's name for it is "partial large subunit ribosomal RNA". It matches the Rfam family "Eukaryotic large subunit ribosomal RNA", at positions 24 to 647 of the family's 3401-position model. Lineage: Eukaryota; Fungi; Neocallimastigomycota; Neocallimastigomycetes; Neocallimastigales. The record is from RNAcentral.